GCCUCGGUGGCUUAGCUCGGUAGAGCGUUUGACUUGUAAUCAAAUGGUCGGGGGUUCAAGUCCCCCUCGAGGCUCCA
RNAcentral lists this transfer RNA (77 nucleotides) under Candidatus Heimdallarchaeum endolithica. RNAcentral describes it as "tRNA-Thr". It matches the Rfam family "tRNA". From Rfam's summary of the family: Transfer RNA (tRNA) molecules are approximately 80 nucleotides in length. Their secondary structure includes four short double-helical elements and three loops (D, anti-codon, and T loops). Further hydrogen bonds mediate the characteristic L-shaped molecular structure. tRNAs have two regions of fundamental functional importance: the anti-codon, which is responsible for specific mRNA codon recognition, and the 3' end, to which the tRNAs corresponding amino acid is attached (by aminoacyl-tRNA synthetases). tRNAs cope with the degeneracy of the genetic code in two manners: having more than one tRNA (with a specific anti-codon) for a particular amino acid; and 'wobble' base-pairing, i.e. permitting non-standard base-pairing at the 3rd anti-codon position. Lineage: Archaea; Promethearchaeati; Candidatus Heimdallarchaeota; Candidatus Heimdallarchaeia (ex Rinke et al. 2021) (nom. nud.); Candidatus Heimdallarchaeales; Candidatus Heimdallarchaeaceae. The record is from RNAcentral. RNAcentral also lists the same sequence under 1 other name.